AGAAUAUCCCCUUGUUUUUCUCAACAGUCCAAAUCCAUUCCGCGCCAUUUUAAGCAAAUAUUCUUCUCCAACAUCUCCGAUCCUCAUGGAACAUUUUCACCUCUCUCUCUCAAUCAUCUCCUCUCAAACAAUCCCUCUCUUUCUCUCUCCCAAUUCCCAACAAAAUCAAACCUUCAACCCCAUUUUCCCCUUUGGGUUCCUCCAACCCUACCCCAAAACCUUGCAUCCCCAGCACAACUACAUUCCCAUCUCAAUUUCAUGGACACACAAUCAGGGUUUAAAUUCUCAAGCCCGUUUAUGGAGCUAGGGUAG
Non-coding RNA from Vicia faba (fava bean), 312 nucleotides. Lineage: Eukaryota; Viridiplantae; Streptophyta; Magnoliopsida; Fabales; Fabaceae. The record is from the annotation of a GenBank genome assembly.